This 404-nucleotide ribosomal RNA is filed under the name uncultured bacterium. Its description in RNAcentral is "partial 16S ribosomal RNA". It matches the Rfam family "Bacterial small subunit ribosomal RNA", at positions 28 to 526 of the family's 1533-position model. The record is from RNAcentral.
GAUGAACGCUGACAGAAUGCUUAACACAUGCAAGUCAACUGUGGCGGACGGGCGAGUAACGCGUAAAGAACUUGCCUCACAGCUAGGGACAACAUUAGGAAACGAAUGCUAAUACCUGAUACUGUGAGAGAGCUUUGCGUCCCAUUAGCUAGUUGGAGAGGUAACGGCUCACCAAGGCGAUGAUGGGUAGCCGGCCUGAGAGGGUGAUCGGCCACAAGGGGACUGAGACACGGCCCUUACUGCUACGGGAGGCAGCAGUGGGGAAUAUUGGAAAAUGGACCAAAGUCUGAUCCAGCAAUUCUGUGUGCACCAUGAAGUUUUCGGAAUGUAAAGUCCUUUAAGUUUGGAAGCGGUACCAACAGGAGACGUGACGGCUAAAUACGUGCCAGCAGCCGCGGUAAUAC